CCACAGCUGUCUCCAACUCAGGCCAAAGUCAGGGCGAAUGGUGGAAAGUACGCUGAGCUGGGAUCCAUGGGCUUUGAAAGCAGGGCAAGACCCACAUGCUGAAAAUGGAAUGCUGGGCCUGGUGGAUGGUUUGGGAACUUUCCACUGCAGUGCCUGGGAAUGUGGAAUCUCCUGGGCCCUCACUGAGCCCAUCACUCUCACCAGCCUGCUAAGCAGCCCUCAGGCCGCCCUCCCUCCAGCCAGUGCCUGAAGACACAGAGGAAGAAAAAUAAAACCAGCCCUUGCUGGAAUGGGAGGCCGGCUCUGCUCCGGAGGAGCCGC
RNAcentral lists this long non-coding RNA (321 nucleotides) under Homo sapiens (human). RNAcentral's name for it is "HSALNT0164059". The record is from RNAcentral. Lineage: Eukaryota; Metazoa; Chordata; Mammalia; Primates; Hominidae.